This 218-nucleotide unclassified non-coding RNA is filed under the name fungal sp. Its description in RNAcentral is "partial internal transcribed spacer region". The stretch from base 1 to 46 matches the Rfam family "Eukaryotic small subunit ribosomal RNA", at positions 1786 to 1831 of the family's 1831-position model. Lineage: Eukaryota; Fungi. The record is from RNAcentral.
AAGUCGUAACAAGGUUUCCGUAGGUGAACCUGCGGAAGGAUCAUUAACACAAGUAAAAAAACAUUUUACAACACCCUAUUAUGAAUUUAAAUUUUUUAAUUUUAAUUUUUUUUUAUAAAACUACAAAAAAAAUAUUUAAUUUAUUUGACUAACAUUUUUUUAAUUUAUUUAUUUAAAAUUUUAUAAAACAACUCUUAACAACGGAUAUCUUGGCUCUC